Molecule: ribosomal RNA, 253 nt
Filed under: uncultured bacterium
Lineage: Bacteria
Description: partial 16S ribosomal RNA
Rfam family: Bacterial small subunit ribosomal RNA
Source: RNAcentral
UACGUAGGUGGCAAGCGUUGUCCGGAUUUAUUGGGCGUAAAGAGCGCGCAGGCGGUCGUCCAAGUCGCGUGUGAAAGCCCCCGGCUCAACUGGGGAGGGUCACGCGAUACUGGUCGACUCGAAGGCAGGAGAGGGUAGUGGAAUUCCCGGUGUAGUGGUGAAAUGCGUAGAUAUCGGGAGGAACACCAGUGGCGAAGGCGACUACCUGGCCUGUUCUUGACGCUGAGGCGCGAAAGCUAGGGGAGCAAACGGG